RNAcentral lists this ribosomal RNA (355 nucleotides) under uncultured bacterium. Its description in RNAcentral is "partial 16S ribosomal RNA". It matches the Rfam family "Bacterial small subunit ribosomal RNA", at positions 338 to 690 of the family's 1533-position model. The record is from RNAcentral.
CCUACGGGGGGCAGCAGUGAGGAAUAUUGGUCAAUGGGCGCGAGCCUGAACCAGCCAAGUAGCGUGAAGGAUGACUGCCCUACGGGUUGUAAACCUCUUUUAUAAAGGAAUAAAGUGCGGCACGCGUGCCUCUUUGUAAGUACUCUAUGAAUAAGGAUCGGCUAACUCCGUGCCAGCAGCCGCGGUAAUACGGAGGAUCCGAGCGUUAUCCGGAUUUAUUGGGUUUAAAGGGAGCGUAGAUGGGUUGUUAAGUCAGUUGUGAAAGUGUGCGGCUCAACCGUAAAAUUGCAAUUGAUACUGGCAGCCUUGAGUACAGUUGAGGUAGGCGGAAGUCGUGGUGUGGCGGUGAAAUGAU